This 619-nucleotide ribosomal RNA is filed under the name uncultured bacterium. RNAcentral describes it as "bacterial SSU rRNA". It matches the Rfam family "Bacterial small subunit ribosomal RNA", at positions 889 to 1505 of the family's 1533-position model. The record is from RNAcentral.
CAAGACUAAAACUUCAAAGGAAUUGACGGGGGCCCGCACAAGCAGCGGAGCAUGUGGUUUAAUUCGAAGCAACGCGAAGAACCUUACCAGGACUUGACAUCCUAAGAAUCCUGUAGAGACACAGGAGUGCCCUUCGGGGAACUUAGAGACAGGUGGUGCAUGGUUGUCGUCAGCUCGUGUCGUGAGAUGUUGGGUUAAGUCCCGCAACGAGCGCAACCCCUGUUGUUAGUUGCUACCAUUAAGUUGAGCACUCUAACGAGACUGCCGAGGUUAACUCGGAGGAAGGUGGGGAUGACGUCAAAUCAUCAUGCCCUUUAUGUCCUGGGCUACACACGUGCUACAAUGGCUACUACAACGAGAUGCAAUGCAGCGAUGCGGAGCAAAUCUUCAAAAGUAGUCCCAGUUCGGAUUGUAGGCUGCAACUCGCCUACAUGAAGCCGGAGUUGCUAGUAAUCGCGGAUCAGAAUGCCGCGGUGAAUACGUUCCCGGGCCUUGUACACACCGCCCGUCACACCAUGAGAGUCGGCAACACCCGAAGUCAGUGGGCUAACGCGUAAGCGAGGCAGCUGCCGAAGGUGGGGUCGAUGAUUGGGGUGAAGUCGUAACAAGGUAGCCGUAA